UAUCCAGACUCCUACGGGAGGCAGCAGUGAGGAAUAUUGGUCAAUGGACGGAAGCCUGAACCAGCCAAGUCGCGUGAGGGAUUAAGGCCCUAUGGGUCGUAAACCUCUUUUGUCAGGGAGCAAGGUCGUCCACGUGUGGGCGUAUGGAGAGUACCUGAAGAAAAAGCAUCGGCUAACUCCGUGCCAGCAGCCGCGGUAAUACGGAGGAUGCGAGCGUUAUCCGGAUUUAUUGGGUUUAAAGGGUGCGUAGGCGGAAUGCCAAGUCAGCGGUAAAAUCGCGGGGCUCAACCUCGCUCCGCCGUUGAAACUGGCGUUCUUGAGUGGGCGAGAAGUAUGCGGAAUGCGUGGUGUAGCGGUGAAAUGCAUAGAUAUCACGCAGAACUCCGAUUGCGAAGGCAGCAUACCGGCGCCCAACUGACGCUGAAGCACGAAAGCGUGGGUAUCGAACAGGAUUAGAUACCCGGGUAA
Molecule: ribosomal RNA, 468 nt
Filed under: uncultured bacterium
Lineage: Bacteria
Description: bacterial SSU rRNA
Rfam family: Bacterial small subunit ribosomal RNA
Source: RNAcentral